UACGGGGGGGGGUAAGCGUUGUUCGGAAUUACUGGGCGUAAAGGGCUCGUAGGCGGCCAACUAAGUCAUACGUGAAAUCCCUCAGCUUAACUGGGGAACUGCGUGUGAUACUGGAUGGCUUGGAUUUGGGAGAGGGAUGCGGAAUUCCAGGUGUAGCGGUGAUAUGCGUAGAUAUCUGGAGGAACACCGGUGGCGAAGGCGGCGUUCUGGACUGCUACUGACACUGAGGAACGAAAGCCAGGGGAGCAAACGGG
RNAcentral lists this ribosomal RNA (254 nucleotides) under uncultured bacterium. RNAcentral's name for it is "partial 16S ribosomal RNA". It matches the Rfam family "Bacterial small subunit ribosomal RNA", at positions 524 to 776 of the family's 1533-position model. The record is from RNAcentral.